This 74-nucleotide transfer RNA is filed under the name Candidatus Niyogibacteria bacterium CG10_big_fil_rev_8_21_14_0_10_42_19. Its description in RNAcentral is "tRNA-Ala". It matches the Rfam family "tRNA". Rfam says of the family: Transfer RNA (tRNA) molecules are approximately 80 nucleotides in length. The record is from RNAcentral. Lineage: Bacteria; Candidatus Niyogiibacteriota.
GGGCCUAUAGUUUAGUGGUAAAACAAGCGCAUGGCAUGCGCUAGAUGGGAGUUCGAUUCUCCCUAGGUCCACCA